This 302-nucleotide ribosomal RNA is filed under the name uncultured bacterium. RNAcentral's name for it is "partial 16S ribosomal RNA". It matches the Rfam family "Bacterial small subunit ribosomal RNA", at positions 508 to 807 of the family's 1533-position model. The record is from RNAcentral.
GCAGCAGCCGCGGUAAUACGAAGGGGGCUAGCGUUGUUCGGAAUUACUGGGCGUAAAGCGCACGUAGGCGGUUAUUCAAGUCAGAGGUGAAAGCCCGGGGCUCAACCCCGGAACUGCCUUUGAAACUAGAUGACUAGAAUCUUGGAGAGGUCAGUGGAAUUCCGAGUGUAGAGGUGAAAUUCGUAGAUAUUCGGAAGAACACCAGUGGCGAAGGCGACUGACUGGACAAGUAUUGACGCUGAGGUGCGAAAGCGUGGGGAGCAAACAGGAUUAGAUACCCGAGUAGUCCCUGUCUCUUAUAC